AUGGGGAGCUGCCAGGGCCAGGGCCACAGCCUGAGGGUCCUAGGAGGGCAUGGAGCAUGGGCGGGCCCCAGUAGGGCCGGGAGGGUGUCCUGCAGAGGGACCUGGGUGUUUCUGUCCUCCGUCCCUGGGACACUGACUGACCGCGGCCUCUGUCUUUGCAGUGCGCAAUAUUUACCCCUGUGGUGCUGCAGAAGAGGAGCAGCUCUUCAUCUUUGCUCCCCAGCAAACCACCGAGUGAGGAGCAUGGCAGCAGAGGAGGAAUGGGUAUGUCCCAUCUGCCGUGACGAGCGCAAGGACAUUGCCUACGCAAUGCCGUGCUGUCACGAGUUCUGCCUCGGCUGCAUCCUGCGGUGGGGCAAGCAGCAGGAGAGCUGCCCUCUCUGCCGGAGAGUCAUGGAAGUGGUCAAGGUGGCAGCGCUGGAUGAUGACGAGGACCUGGACUUCGUCAUCUGGCCUCCAGCAGCUCCUGUACCUGCCUGCUUCCAGGAAGCCGUUGCUCCCGAUUUCAGCAGCUCAGGCUCUUCGCUGUCCUCUUCGCCACCCCCUUCACCGUGGUCGGAUGAGGAGGAGGAGGCAGAAGAUGAGGAGGCAGAGGCGGAGGCAGUGGAGGUGCCUACAGUGGGCGGUCUCCCGCCUGACAUCUGGGCAGAUCUGUUCAGGCAGCACCAGCAGAUCCUGGACCCUGUGCUGCCCUGGCUGCGCCAACAGCUGCAAGCCACCUUUCACACACACUGGUGGCCGGCAAUGGCAGCGGAGGCCUACCUCCUGAAUGCCCUGUGUGACAUCGGGCUGGACGGCGAGUGGCUGACGGAGAUGACGCGGCCUGCCCUGGAGAACAGAGCGGAGGCGUUCGUCCAGGAGCUCCUCGACAACAUCGUGCGCCACUGCGGCGAGGAGGCGCACAGACUGCUGGGUCUGCAGGACGCCCACGUGCCUGAGGGGCGGGAGGAAGGCCCAGCAGCCAGGGGGCAGGAGGACAGCCCUGUGGCCGCCCCUGGCCCCACAGCCUCCCCAGAACCGGACCUCACGUCGGGGCCCAGAGUCAGCACUGCAUGUCCCAGCAUUGAGGAGGAGACCCGCACAGCAGUGGCUGACGUUCUUGUGUGUCCCGAUCACGUCCCCGCUGCACACUUGGCGAGGGAAGCGGAGGAGCCCCAUGAAGAGAUGGAGCAGGCAACAGCAGCAGGUCCCUCUGCCCGGGGCAGCAGCCCCUCUGCUCCUGGCCACCCUCCUGAGAGGGCCCGGCGGCCCCCUAAGAGGAGGGCUGACAGUGAGCAGGACCCACAGCCGCCCUGCAAGAGGCCUCCCCCUCGGCCUCACUAG
Molecule: long non-coding RNA, 1323 nt
Filed under: Meleagris gallopavo (turkey)
Lineage: Eukaryota; Metazoa; Chordata; Aves; Galliformes; Phasianidae
Description: lncRNA (ENSMGAG00000022217.1)
Source: RNAcentral